Molecule: ribosomal RNA, 556 nt
Filed under: uncultured fungus
Lineage: Eukaryota; Fungi
Description: eukaryotic LSU rRNA
Rfam family: 5.8S ribosomal RNA (bases 219-372)
Source: RNAcentral
AAGUCGUAACAAGGUUUCCGUAGGUGAACCUGCGGAAGGAUCAUUAAAGAAAUUGGAAUAUUCAAUUCUCAAACCCACCCUGUGUACUUGUACUUGUUGCUUCCGUGGGCAGUGAAAAAUUGUUUUUUUGCGCCCGCCAGUACGGCGGACCCACGGUAAACAUUAAACCCAGCCUUUUAGUAUCGUCAGUCUGAUUAUGUUUAUUGAAUAAACGUCAAAACUUUCAACAACGGAUCUCUUGGUUCUCGCAUCGAUGAAGAACGCAGCGAAAUGCGAUAAGUAGUGUGAAUUGCAGAAUUCCGUGAAUCAUCGAAUCUUUGAACGCACAUUGCGCCUCCUGGCAUUCCGGGAGGCAUGCCUGUUCGAGCGUCAUCAAAAACCCUCAAGCUUGGAUUCAUCCAUGACUUGGUAUUGGCAUCGGAGUGCGCUUAUGCCAUUCCCAUCCGAAAUCCCAUGGCGGUGUUGUCCAUACCGAUGAGCGUAGUGAUCAACAUUAUGUUUCGCUCUCGUACGGAUCAUAUCUAGCCGCAAACCCCCAAUCUCAAGUGUUGACCUC